AUAUAGAACCGUGGGGUUCUAUACUUGGCCAAUAGAACCUUUUACCAAAAAAAGGGUUCCAUAUAGAACCCUUGGAAGGCAAAGAACCAUUUUUAUUAAAAUGGUUCUAUAAUUCACGUUUUGUGACUGAAGUGUAAACUAAAGAUUACACAAUAAUUGCAGACCUACACAACUCAUUUACAAACCUACACAACUCAUUCACAAACCUUUUUGUGUCAAUAGGCUGUGGUCAAAUAAAGAGAGAGUCAACAAAUAGGCUAUUAAUAUUUAGUGUAUGAUUUAUUUCCUGUGAGCUUUUUUAUGCAAGUUUGUACAUUAGCAUGAAACUUACAGUGCAGUUUGCGUUUUUGGUGAAUUACCAGGUGUUUUCUUUAUUUUGUACAUUCUAAAUUGUCAAUGUUUAUUUAAUUUAACCUGAAGGGGCAUUAAAAACAAAUAAUCGCAAAAGUGCCCUCUGGUGGCGUAUAUAUGCGUUGCACCAUAAGCGAAGAUGAGCCUCGUGACGUGACAGUUUUUUUUCAAACUGAGGUGAGGAGUUCGGACUCCGGACCGGCAUUUGUUUGUACCCUGAGGUAAGUAAACUUUACAUUUUUGAAACGAUAUUACUGAAACAUUUAGUAUAAUUAAUUAAUAUUUAUUUUGUUAGAGUAUGUGUUGUGCUAAAUAGUGAUACUAGAAGCUACAUUUAUAAUAUUUACCUCAGGUAAAAAAUACUGCUGGUAACGUUGAAGCACUUGACGGGCUUCGUCAACCGUCAGUUAUAAAAGCUCUGUUAAAUACAUUUUGUUCCGGGUUUUAAUGAAUUACGUUACAGUCCUGCUUUAUUUCUUUGUCAUUUUAAAUUAAAUUGCCAAUCAGAAUAAGACAGCUGUGUUGUAAGGAGACGAAAUUCGAGACAGUCAUUUCAGUGAAGCGCGUGGUCAAAGGAACCGGGUGGAAGACGGUAGAAGGGAAAUUAUAUGUAAAUGUUUGUCGCAGUUUUACACAUAUUCCGUGAGUAUUUUUCGCUUGUUCACGAGUGUUUUAUCAGGGUUGGAGCUAAACUCGGAAGGAAAGUGGAAACUGCUGGCCAAAGUUGAGAACAUUCCGCCGGUCUGUAUUAUAAAUGCACGAUUGCAGUGCAGCGUUUGUAUCCGCAACAAAUAACCAUGGUUAAUAAAUGAUCAGACACGUCACUGGCUUUAAAAUAUAAACCCCAUUGAUGCAAAAAGAUGCUGCAUGGAAUGACAAUGAGGUUUGGAACAGACUUGAAGAACAUGGAAACAUCUCUCAAUAAAAUGGCCCCAAACAUCAUCAGGAGUGCAAAAGAAGGAAGUAAAAAACAUCUCUACGCCAAUCUCAUUGGAGAGGAAACCACAGAAGGUCUGGUGAGGAAUGCUGCACUUAUGUUAUUGCCAGCAUUAUUUCAAGAAAAUCCCAGCUUCCUUUACUGUGUAAAUAGUGAACCCAAAGGUCCCACAUCAACCAUAGUGUUCAACGGCUCUCCUGAUCUUCUCAAAUCUGAAAGUAUCAACUGUAUAAUGGACAAUGUGAACUUAAUAUGUGGAAGACAUUGACAUCACAGGCUGUGGAAUGACUGUGUCACAGGUCGGAGAAGCGGACCGCCCCUGUCGCGGAUCACGCUCCUCCUAGUUCCACCUCGAGGAGGUCCCAAAGCACCCCAAUGACCAGACAAACCAGAGAUAAGUAAAAUAUAAAAAUAGAAACUUUAUUUAAAUUAUUUAAAACUAAAGUGGGGAAUGGGAAUCUAAAAAUCUCGCUUCUCGCCCUCAGGGGGAGUAUUACGGGGCCAGGGACGUUGGAGGGGUUUCCACGUGACUCCAGCUGGAACACCGCUAGAGAGCGUAUCUGGGUGGGUUGGGCACACACCGUCGCGGCGGCCCCUGAUGGCAUCCACAAAGGUCCAAGACCCUCCUAAGCUCCCAGCCGUAGCAGAACUACGUAUUUCAGCACCCGAACGACUAACAACCCAGCCGGCAUCUGCAGCGUAUAUCCAACGCGAUCAAACUUCACUCUGACAAGUAACUUGCUAUACACAACCACGCCGUCCUUUCGCCCGGACCAGCCCCGCACUCUUUCCGCCCGCUACCUAGCGGUCGCCGGAUCAGCAGAGCCUGCGGACUCUUCGGACUCUGCGACCCUUACAGUAACUUCUACCUUCUCUCUUUAUAUCCUCCUCCAUGGCGUGGCUCGCCCAACCAUCGCUCGCCAUGUCACUCACACAGCUGUGCCUUGUUUCAGUGAGUGCGGGGAUUCCCGGGGAACCCGGAAGUGCCGGUGUCUGUACAAACCGGUCCGGGCGGAACCUCUUCACUCUCCUUUUGGUUCCGCCCCGCAUAGUCACUCCGUGACAACUGUUUGCGUUUUUUUUUCUCCUCAAUGUUCAAUACCCUUUUGCCAUUAAGCACACAGUGACAUUAAUUUAUAAAAUAUAUGCUUAAGUUUUAAUACCUGUACAAAACAAAUGUACAAUCAACUUGUGUAAAUUGUCAUUUUAUUUAAUAGAUUGUUCAUGAAUUGUCUUUAAAUGCAUUGUGAUUUCGGUAACACUUUACAAUAAGGUUCAUUAGUUAACAUUAGUUAAUGUAUUAACUAACUUGAACAAACCACGAGCAAUACAUUUGUUACAGUAUUUAUUCAUCUUUGUUAAUGUUAGUUAAUAAAAAUUUAAGCUUUAAUUGCUUGUUCAUGUUAGUUCAGAGUGCAUUAACUAAUGUUAACAAGAUUUUAAUAAAGUAUAAGUAAUUGUUGAAAUUAACAUUAACAAAGAUUAAUAAAGGCUGUAUAAGUGCAGUUCAUUAUUAGUUCAUGUUAACUAAUGUAGCUAACUAAUGUUAACUAAUGAACCUUAUUGUAAAGUGUUACCGUGAUUUCUUUUCAUCAUUUCAGACACAUGUAAAAGUUACUAAAACUUAGUACUGCCUAUACUGUACAGUAUCUAUGCGUAAGGGAAAUAACUUGAACAAAAUUUUUUAUGUAUAGUGUAAUUAAUAGUUUAGCUGUUUAAUACAGAGAUGCAAUAUAUAUAUAUAUAUAUGUAUAUGUAUGUUUAUUAAAAAGUGAAAAUGCUUAAUGGAAAUAAUUAAAUAACUAAAUGGUUGAAUGUAAUGAGACAUUUUAAAUGUAAACCAAAGUUUUGCUGUCUAAUACAGAAUAAAGAGAUGUGAUUUUAAGUAAUUUUUAUAGAUUUAUAUUUCUGUAUAAUACAAUUAAUAAAUAGUAAACUUUUAUAA
Molecule: non-coding RNA, 3233 nt
Organism: Misgurnus anguillicaudatus (oriental weatherfish)
Lineage: Eukaryota; Metazoa; Chordata; Actinopteri; Cypriniformes; Cobitidae
Source: RefSeq, a predicted model, not a curated record